CUGCCGUAUACUGGGGGAUAACACUUAGAAAUAGGUGCUAAUACCGCAUAAGCGCACAGCUUCGCAUGAAGUGGUGUGAAAAACUCUGGUGGUAUACGAUGGUUCCGCGUCUGAUUAGCUUGUUGGUGGGGUAAUGGCUCACCAAGGCGACGAUCAGUAGCCGGCCUGAGAGGGUGAACGGCCACAUUGGGACUGAGACACGGCCCAAACUCCUACGGGAGGCAGCAGUGGGGAAUAUUGCACAAUGGGGGAAACCCUGAUGCAGCGACGCCGCGUGAGUGAAGAAGUAUUUCGGUAUGUAAAGCUCUAUCAGCAGGGAAGAAAUAGCGACCUUUGGGUCGCCAGACGGUACCUGAUUAAGAAGCCCCGGCUAACUACGUGCCAGCAGCCGCGGUAAUACGUAGGGGGCAAGCGUUAUCCGGAUUUACUGGGUGUAAAGGGAGCGUAGACGGCAGCACAAGUCUGAAGUGAAAUGCCGGGGCUUGACCCCGGAACUGCUUUGGAAACUGUGCAGCUAGAGUGCAGGAGAGGUAAGUGGAAUUCCUAGUGUAGCGGUGAAAUGCGUAGAUAUUAGGAGGAACACCAGUGGCGAAGGCGGCUUACUGGACUGUAACUGACGUUGAGGCUCGAAAGCGUGGGGAGCAAACAGGAUUAGAUACCCUGGUAGUCCACGCUGUAAACGAUGA
RNAcentral lists this ribosomal RNA (686 nucleotides) under uncultured bacterium. Its description in RNAcentral is "bacterial SSU rRNA". It matches the Rfam family "Bacterial small subunit ribosomal RNA", at positions 126 to 812 of the family's 1533-position model. The record is from RNAcentral.